ACUUUCAAGGUGGAUGCAGAGACUAAGAAGGAAGGUGGCAUGCCAAGAGUUGGGAGUGCUUACGACUGGUCCUCAAACUACUAAGGAGCUAUAUAGUUUUUCUCAAUGGGGCUGGUUGUUAACAGCCCUUGUGUUGGUUUUGCAAUAUCUUCUUCUGAUCUUACAUUCCGAUCUUUUAUGAUUUUGCUGCACAAACAGAUCACUUUAUAUUGCUGUUAGUAUUUCCCAAAAACAGGACAGCAAUUUACAGUGCUGUAAGUGUUGCUUAGUGUCCAACUAAGCCCUAACUUUUGUGGGGCUUAACAUAAAA
RNAcentral lists this unclassified non-coding RNA (310 nucleotides) under Hevea brasiliensis (rubber tree). The record is from RNAcentral. Lineage: Eukaryota; Viridiplantae; Streptophyta; Magnoliopsida; Malpighiales; Euphorbiaceae.